Molecule: long non-coding RNA, 491 nt
Organism: Selaginella moellendorffii
Lineage: Eukaryota; Viridiplantae; Streptophyta; Lycopodiopsida; Selaginellales; Selaginellaceae
Exons: 3
Source: RefSeq, a predicted model, not a curated record
UCCACCCCCACCGUCUCCACCGCCGCCGUCGCCACCUCCUCCAUCACCGCCGCCGCCAACUCUACGGUUCAGAGGGCGAGUAGCAGCUAGGACACCUCCUUUGCCUGUCCACACCUGCGAGGAGCAACUGCUUCAGAAGGAACCGAUUAAGAGUCUGUUCAAGAUCAAGAAGGAUCAGUUGAAUCAAGGAGUGAUGAAAAACCUAGUAUGGCUACAUCUUUUCAAUGUCAUUUCACACUCAGCAUAAUCACUUCAACAUGCUUCUGGAUGCAUCGACUUCUUUCCAACAAGAUUUGCAUGCUACAGCCACCACCGAGGAGUGUACGGGUGUGUUGCUAGAGCUGGAGAAGCUCGUAAACUCCACUUUACCCCCCCAGUAAGUUUGCUUACAUUUUUCCUUUUUUCCGGAGGUAACUCUUUCUGUUGGGAGCUCCCCCCUUUUUCCUGUCACCUCCGAGAGUUCGUAAUAAAAGAUUCAUGACUUUUUCCUU